GCUUUUUGCUUCCUGAUCUUUGUGAUGUCUCAGCAGAGUAGCAUUUUUUAAUCUUUUUCUAGGAAAAAAUAUCUUGGGUUCAACUGGGGUGGGAUCUCAGUCCUCAUCGCGAUCUCACAUGUCUGUGUGAAGAGACCACCAAACAGGCUUUGUAAUUAUUGGUGAUGGCCUGGAUGCGGUUUUGUAUGAACUGAGAAACUAAACAAAAGAGUGGCUGCCAGGUGGAUCUCUUCAGGGAGUGAAGGUGAGGACAGGGGACUGCUGUCCCGAAGGAGUCCCGCUGACCCGGGUCUUCGGCACCAAAUGUCUCAUGCGUCCGUGUGAAGAGACCACCAAACAGGCUUUGUAUCUUCAGUUGCUUCAGGCCAUUUGAACGUAUAUGAGCCGGUCGUAGGGGAUAUGAUGGCUUAGCUUGGGCUCAGAGGCCUGAAAAUCGCCCCCACCAAUCACCUGUUUCCCCCAAUCUACCCUCCUGAAGGUCACUGACAAAGACUUCAUUGUCUCCUA
Molecule: long non-coding RNA, 507 nt
Filed under: Homo sapiens (human)
Lineage: Eukaryota; Metazoa; Chordata; Mammalia; Primates; Hominidae
Description: fucosyltransferase 3 (Lewis blood group) (ENSG00000292063.1)
Source: RNAcentral